GGGMUGCUAUACUGCAGUCGUACGCUGUGCUAUUCUCUGCUCACCGGAGCUUGCUCCACCGGAAAAAGAGGAGUGGCGAACGGGUGAGUAACACGUGGGUAACCUGCCCAUCAGAAGGGGAUAACACUUGGAAACAGGUGCUAAUACCGUAUAACAAUCGAAACCGCAUGGUUUUGAUUUGAAAGGCGCUUUCGGGUGUCGCUGAUGGAUGGACCCGCGGUGCAUUAGCUAGUUGGUGAGGUAACGGCUCACCAAGGCSACGAUGCAUAGCCGACCUGAGAGGGUGAUCGGCCACAUUGGGACUGAGACACGGCCCAAACUCCUACGGGAGGCAGCAGUAGGGAAUCUUCGGCAAUGGACGAAAGUCUGACCGAGCAACGCCGCGUGAGUGAAGAAGGUUUUCGGAUCGUAAAACUCUGUUGUUAGAGAAGAACAAGGAUGAGAGUAACUGUUCAUCCCUUGACGGUAUCUAACCAGAAAGCCACGGCUAACUACGUGCCAGCAGCCGCGGUAAUACGUAGGUGGCAAGCGUUGUCCGGAUUUAUUGGGCGUAAAGCGAGCGCAGGCGGUUUCUUAAGUCUGAUGUGAAAGCCCCCGGCUCAACCGGGGAGGGUCAUUGGAAACUGGGAGACUUGAGUGCAGAAGAGGAGAGUGGAAUUCCAUGUGUAGCGGUGAAAUGCGUAGAUAUAUGGAGGAACACCAGUGGCGAAGGCGGCUCUCUGGUCUGUAACUGACGCUGAGGCUCGAAAGCGUGGGGAGCAAACAGGAUUAGAUACCCUGGUAGUCCACGCCGUAAACGAUGAGUGCUAAGUGUUGGAGGGUUUCCGCCCUUCAGUGCUGCAGCUAACGCAUUAAGCACUCCGCCUGGGGAGUACGACCGCAAGGUUGAAACUCAAAGGAAUUUGACGGGGGCCCGCACAAGCGGUGGAGCAUGUGGUUUAAUUCGAAGCAACGCGAAGAACCUUACCAGGUCUUGACAUCCUUUGACCACUCUAGAGAUAGAGCUUCCCCUUCGGGGGCAAAGUGACAGGUGGUGCAUGGUUGUCGUCAGCUCGUGUCGUGAGAUGUUGGGUUAAGUCCCGCAACGAGCGCAACCCUUAUUGUUAGUUGCCAUCAUUYAGUUGGGCACUCUAGCAAGACUGCCGGUGACAAACCGGAGGAAGGUGGGGAUGACGUCAAAUCAUCAUGCCCCUUAUGACCUGGGCUACACACGUGCUACAAUGGGAAGUACAACGAGUYGCRAAGUCGCGAGGCUAAGCUAAUCUCUUAAAGCUUCUCUCAGUUCGGAUUGYAGGCUGCAACUCGCCURCAUGAAGCCGGAAUCGCUAGUAAUCGCGGAUCAGCACGCCGCGGUGAAUACGUUCCCGGGCCUUGUACACACCGCCCGUCACACCACGAGAGUUUGUAACACCCGAAGUCGG
Molecule: ribosomal RNA, 1421 nt
Filed under: uncultured Enterococcus sp.
Lineage: Bacteria; Bacillati; Bacillota; Bacilli; Lactobacillales; Enterococcaceae
Description: bacterial SSU rRNA
Rfam family: Bacterial small subunit ribosomal RNA
Source: RNAcentral